GACGAACGCUGGCGGCGUGCUUAACACAUGCAAGUCGAACGGAAAGGCCCUGCUUUUGUGGGGUGCUCGAGUGGCGAACGGGUGAGUAACACGUGAGUAACCUGCCAUUGACUUUGGGAUAACUUCAGGAAACUGGGGCUAAUACCGGAUAGGAGCUCCUGCUGCAUGGUGGGGGUUGGAAAGUUUCGGCGGUUGGGGAUGGACUCGCGGCUUAUCAGCUUGUUGGUGGGGUAGUGGCCUACCAAGGCUUUGACGGGUAGCCGGCCUGAGAGGGUGACCGGCCACAUUGGGACUGAGAUACGGCCCAGACUCCUACGGGAGGCAGCAGUGGGGAAUAUUGCACAAUGGGCGGAAGCCUGAUGCAGCAACGCCGCGUGCGGGAUGACGGCCUUCGGGUUGUAAACCGCUUUCGCCUGUGACGAAGCGUGAGUGACGGUAAUGGGUAAAGAAGCACCGGCUAACUACGUG
This 468-nucleotide ribosomal RNA is filed under the name uncultured bacterium. Its description in RNAcentral is "partial 16S ribosomal RNA". It matches the Rfam family "Bacterial small subunit ribosomal RNA", at positions 28 to 507 of the family's 1533-position model. The record is from RNAcentral.